This 73-nucleotide transfer RNA is filed under the name Camelus bactrianus (Bactrian camel). It matches the Rfam family "tRNA". From Rfam's summary of the family: Transfer RNA (tRNA) molecules are approximately 80 nucleotides in length. Their secondary structure includes four short double-helical elements and three loops (D, anti-codon, and T loops). Lineage: Eukaryota; Metazoa; Chordata; Mammalia; Artiodactyla; Camelidae. The record is from Rfam by way of RNAcentral. RNAcentral also lists the same sequence under 2 other names.
GAGGGUGUAGCUCAAGAGGCAGAGCGCAUGCUUAGCAUGCACGAGGUCCUGGGCUCAAUUCCCAGUACCCCCU